GAUGAACGCUGGCGGCGUGCCUAAUACAUGCAAGUCGAACGAAGAGCUUUUGUAGUAAUACAGAGGUUUCUUAGUGGCGAACGGGUGAGUAACGCGUUGGUGACCUACCCCAAAGUGUGGGAUAACAGUCCGAAAGGAUUGCUAAUACCUCAUGUGGCCUUCGGAAUUAGAAACCGAUUCUAAGGAGUAAUCCGCUUUGGGAGGGGCCUGCGUCCCAUCAGCUAGUUGGUAGGGUAAUGGCCUACCAAGGCAUCGACGGGUAAGGGGCCUGAGAGGGUGACCCCUCACAAUGGAACUGAAACACGGUCCAUACACCUACGGGAGGCUG
This 328-nucleotide ribosomal RNA is filed under the name uncultured Chloroflexota bacterium. RNAcentral describes it as "bacterial SSU rRNA". It matches the Rfam family "Bacterial small subunit ribosomal RNA", at positions 28 to 351 of the family's 1533-position model. Lineage: Bacteria; Bacillati; Chloroflexota. The record is from RNAcentral.